AUUGAACGCUGGCGGCAUGCUUUACACAUGCAAGUCGAACGGUAACAGGCCGCAAGGUGCUGACGAGUGGCGAACGGGUGAGUAAUGCAUCGGAACGUGCCCAGUCGUGGGGGAUAACUACUCGAAAGAGUAGCUAAUACCGCAUACGAUCUAUGGAUGAAAGCGGGGGACCGUAAGGCCUCGCGCGAUUGGAGCGGCCGAUGUCGGAUUAGGUAGUUGGUGGGGUAAAGGCUGACCAAGCCAACGAUCUGUAGCUGGUCUGAGAGGACAACCAGCCACACUGGGACUGAGACACGGCCCAGACUCCUACGGGAGGCAGCAGUGGGGAAUUUUGGACAAUGGGCGCAAGCCUGAUCCAGCAAUGCCGCGUGCAGGAAGAAGGCCUUCGGGUUGUAAACUGCCUUUGUACGGAACGAAACGGCUCUGGUUAAUACCCGGGGCUAAUGACGGUACCGUAAGAAUAAGCACCGGCUAACUACGUG
This 482-nucleotide ribosomal RNA is filed under the name uncultured bacterium. RNAcentral describes it as "partial 16S ribosomal RNA". It matches the Rfam family "Bacterial small subunit ribosomal RNA", at positions 30 to 507 of the family's 1533-position model. The record is from RNAcentral.